RNAcentral lists this ribosomal RNA (427 nucleotides) under uncultured beta proteobacterium. RNAcentral's name for it is "bacterial SSU rRNA". It matches the Rfam family "Bacterial small subunit ribosomal RNA", at positions 355 to 774 of the family's 1533-position model. Lineage: Bacteria; Pseudomonadati; Pseudomonadota; Betaproteobacteria. The record is from RNAcentral.
UGGGGAAUUUUGGACAAUGGGCGAAAGCCUGAUCCAGCCAUGCCGCGUGAGUGAAGAAGGCCUUCGGGUUGUAAAGCUCUUUUAGUCGGGAAGAAAGAGUUGGAAUGAAUCAUUGAGAUUUAUGACGGUACCGACAGAAAAACCACCGGCUAACUACGUGCCAGCACCCUCGGUAGUACGUAGGGUGGUAGCGUUAAUCGGAAUUACUGGGCGUAAAGGGAGCGCAGGCGGUCUUGCAAGUCAGAUGUGAAAGCCCCGGGCUUAACCUGGGAAUUGCGUUUGAAACUACAAGGCUAGAGUGCAGCAGAGGGGAGUGGAAUUCCAUGUGUAGCAGUGAAAUGCGUAGAUAUGUGGAAGAACACCGAUGGCGAAGGCAGCUCCCUGGGUUGACACUGACGCUCAUGCACGAAAGCGUGGGGAGCAAACA